Dermacentor albipictus is the source of this 1220-nucleotide non-coding RNA. The record is from RefSeq and is a predicted model, not a curated record. NCBI's taxonomy places the organism in Eukaryota, Metazoa, Arthropoda, Arachnida, Ixodida, Ixodidae.
GCCGUCUUGGGAACGCGUAUUUUUCUGAUCGUGGCAUGUCGUGCUUCUACUAUACCUGAGUGCGUGAUGCGCGCGCCCCGUUUUGCGGUCACUGCGUGGUUGUGCUGCUGUUUUGUGAAACGUGAGAGAGGCCACCGGUCAUGCCAAGGGCCUCUCUGAUCGUGUUUACUUUCACUUUUCUGUGAGAACAACGAACGCUCGUUUUGCGUCAGGGCGAAAAAGCACAAGGGUGCCACGCAAGCUACCCCAACGAGUCGCUGCUACCCGUGUUCUCCUUCCCGAAGGGAGAAAGUCGCCCGGCAAUACCGUGGAAGGAAUGCGAAGGGACGAGCUCUACAGAGGAAAGAGGCGAAUAUGCCCCGUGCCUCCCUCUUACCGUCAUGGUGUUGCUUCCCAUAAAGGAGCUGUAGCAUGACGGCAUGUGUGGCCGACGUGACAACGAUGCUGCCGUCUUCCCUGCCAACCACCAGGCGUCCUUGCAGGGGCAGGUAGACGCUAGCCGUGUGAACUUCAAGUUUGGGGCCAUGAUUUGCACUCCCGUGUCCCAUGGCGCAAAGAUGGCCUGCUCCCACACCGGGGGCUUUGGUUGGCCUAUCUGGUUGGCCAGAUGGCAAGCCACCAUCCAAGCUGUAGGUCUGACCACCGCCUUCGUCAAGUGCUCUGCAGCUGCUGGGGACUGAGGGAUAUAGGUUGAUUGAAGGAGUCAUGAGGGAGGUAGUGGCCGAGUACUGCACCAAGGAGGCCAAUUCCUGUUCUGUUCUUGGCCAGCUUCACUGUCCAGCAGUCCCUCGGCCUGGUGUUCCUGCAAGUUCUUGGUCACGUCGUCCAAGAUGGCGGUGCUCGCCUGGCGACUGCGAAAGGCCACCAUGAUGCCAGGGAAGCGAGACUGAAAGACAAACGUCGCAGGUACGAAAGAUCGACGGGAAAUGGCAGUUGCCGGCAUAGUCUACACCUGGAUAGCACGUGACUGCACUCUCACCUGCUCGAUCCUGAGAACAUUUUCGACAGCCAAGGUAUCGAUGUGUCUGGGAACCUUUCGAAGCCGCACGACGCAUCCAGUGCUCUGCAUUAGAAGUGUGUUUGUCAGCCACGUGACUGCUACACACUGCCGCAGCGUUGUGCGAACAAAAGCGACAGCGAUAGGAUGUGCCAGCCGAGCAAUACUAUAUGUUCAGCUUUGUGUCGAAGAAACGUGACGUGGCAAUAAAAGUUUGGUAGUU